GAUGGGGGCUGGGAAGCAGAGUCUGUGUGGGAGGGGCUGCAAGUGAGGGGGAAUGCUCUGUCAGAGGUCCCCAGUGUUACAGCGGAUCCUGGCCCCAUUUAGCUUUAACAGGGCCCUGUCUGAUGUGUCCCACACUACAGGGUCGAAUCCCAUUGUGGCUGGGCAGGGACGAUCAGCUUACAAACCAGGCGCUGACAGAUAUGCUGAGAAGCCAAGAGUUCCUGGACAGAGGCAACUCUAAGCCAGAUGGAGACGUCCCAGGUGUGGGAGCAAUUUCAGGACUGGGUCUGUCCUUGCCUAACCUGGGGGUGCAUUGGCUGCUAACAUGAUCUGAGGGCUCAGAUAACUUGUUAAAUACCCAGAGAAUGACCCCUCCUUGGGGUCAGCCUCACCCCACACCAGCUGAGAGGGCACCAGCGAGGCUGGGUGCAGUCCAGCUUGCUGUUAAGGGGACCUACAGUGGAGAAACUUCUGGGUCUGGACCUCCUUGGGGCGGAAGGGGGGCUGGGAGAGGGGCUUGUGUGGCUGUGUUGGGGGUUCUGCUUCUUUUUCCCCAGCAUCCCCUCCCCUGCAGAUCCUCCUCCCUCUUUUCCUGCAGGGUUUGUUCCCAUCUGUAAUGACAAAGGAGGCGAAGCUGCCACAAGUAGCCCCGGGUGGUUUGGCCGAAUCCCCCCGAGCAUGGGAGCAGUGACAGGGGAGAAGCCUUUGCAAAGUGGAGCCAGCAGAACACAGGAACCAACCUGCACUGCUAGUGUGACUGGCGCGGUGGGGAGCUGGGCCUCUCAGCAGCACCCGGCUCUGGAGCUGCAGUUUGCCAUGGCCAAGGCCAGGAGGCAGUGUCUGCGGGAGCAGCACCAGCGGCUCAUCCAGCAGGAACUGCUGAAGCUGGAGGAGGAGCUAGCAGGCAACCAGGAGGUGAGUGGGGAAUAGGGUUACCAUAUUUCCACAAUCAAAAAAGAGGACACGGGGGGGGGGAGGAGGU
Molecule: long non-coding RNA, 982 nt
Filed under: Chrysemys picta bellii (western painted turtle)
Lineage: Eukaryota; Metazoa; Chordata; Testudines; Emydidae
Description: lncRNA (ENSCPBG00000007640.1)
Source: RNAcentral